RNAcentral lists this long non-coding RNA (1504 nucleotides) under Monodelphis domestica (gray short-tailed opossum). RNAcentral describes it as "lncRNA (ENSMODG00000031183.2)". The record is from RNAcentral. Lineage: Eukaryota; Metazoa; Chordata; Mammalia; Didelphimorphia; Didelphidae.
CGUUCCUGGCUCUUUAAUUCUUCUCAUCUUGCAGCCUUUGGGAACUUCCCUUUAAGCAGGCCCCGCAAUGGGUAACGACUCCCUGGCGGACAGAGCGGCCGAACCCAAAGGCCAGGACAAACCGGACUCAGGCCAAAUCUCCUCCGCCCUGUUUAAUGACUGUGGGAAGGAGCCGCUGGUGGAUAAAGGAGGUCCAGGAAGACACCAGGAUGCUUCGAUCCAUCAUCGCCUGACACCGACUCGAGAGCCUUCUCUGUCCUCCAAUUACUCUCCAGCUUAUCCUCCAGAAACGUGGCACAGAGCAGGAAAGGAUCUUCUCUGCAACUGCCCAGAAGGCAUCCACCUGGUCUUGGCUUGAACAUCACUCGGGACGCGGAGCUCCCAACCCUCGGAGGGAAAGAGAAAGGAUCUGAUGAAGAUUUCCAGUCUACAUCCUGUUGUUCUGGUAGCUCCUGGCUGGGGAUGACCAAGCAAGACAGCAGAGAUAACCCUAAAAGCUGGACUGUCCCACAGGACAGAUGGGAGCAAAGAAAACCAAGGCGACACAGAGCCCCAAGGCACAGAGCAAGGAGAUGGGGGACUCAGGAGGGGAAAGAGCAAAGGACACUGUGGAGGGGGUGUGUCUGUGUGCAUGUGUGUUGGCAGCAAGGGCUGGAGGAGGGAUACCCUUUUUCUCAGUAAAUAUUUAACAGAGAAGGAAGCAUCUGGUUAUGUGGGUGGAGAUAACAAACUGGUUAAUCAUUUCCUAGGAACUAUUCCUAAAGGUUUCCAUGGGGUUGCUGGGAGCUGAUGCUAAUAGAAGAGGUCCAACCUGGGGUGGAUUGGGAGCAAGCCCUUGGCAGCCUCUUAUCUUUAUGCUAAGAGGGGAAAGAGGGAAUCUGGAAGGAUGCUGGGGGCCCUUUGGGGAAGGGUGGGAUUCCAGGUCUCGUGCCUUGGAAACAAUAUACAGUAUUAAAAAAAGAAUCCAUUAACCUGACUGGAAAUCUAAAACUCUGAGGAUGAGAGUAUGGUAGAGAGUAUUUGGAUGAGGAAAAAAAAUUAUGUUAUGGUGAAGUAUACUAUAGAUCACCAAGGCAGUGGGAGGAAAUGGAUGAUGAGCUCUUGACACAUCACAAAGCUGGCAUAGAGGUAGAGUUAUGAUAGGGGACUUCAUAUCUCUAAAAUAUAUUGAAUUUCUCUGCUAAAAGAACCACUCAUAGAGACUUAUGAGAAAGAUGCUCUCCACAUCCAGAGAAAGAACUGUGGGAGCAGAAACACAGAAGAAAAACAACUGCUUGAUCUCAUGGGUCCAUGAGGAUAUGAUAGGGGAUGUAGAUUCUAGAUGAUCCUCCUAGUGCAAAUGCCAAUAAUGUGGAAAUAGGUCUUGAUCAAUGACACAUGUUAAACCCAGUGGAAUUGUGUGUUGGCCACAGAAGGGGGUGGGAGGAGGGGAGAGAAAGAACAUGAAUCAUGUAACCAUGGAAAUUUUUUCUUAAUCAAUAAAAUUAAAUAAAAAAAUAAAACA